RNAcentral lists this ribosomal RNA (497 nucleotides) under uncultured bacterium. RNAcentral describes it as "partial 16S ribosomal RNA". It matches the Rfam family "Bacterial small subunit ribosomal RNA", at positions 28 to 507 of the family's 1533-position model. The record is from RNAcentral.
GAUGAACGCUGGCGGCGUGCCUAAUACAUGCAAGUCGAGCGAACAGACGAGGAGCUUGCUCCUCUGACGUUAGCGGCGGACGGGUGAGUCACACGUGGAUAACCUACCUAUAAGACUGGGAUAACUUCGGGAAACCGGAGCUAAUACCGGAUAAUAUAUUGAACCGCAUGGUUCAAUAGUGAAAGACGGUUUUGCUGUCACUUAUAGAUGGAUCCGCGCCGCAUUAGCUAGUUGGUACGGUAACGGCUUACCAAGGCAGCGAUGCGUAGCCGACCUGAGAGGGUGAUCGGCCACACUGGAACUGAGACACGGUCCAGACUCCUACGGGAGGCAGCAGUAGGGAAUCUUCCGCAAUGGGCGAAAGCCUGACGGAGCAACGCCGCGUGAGUGAUGAAGGUCUUCGGAUCGUAAAACUCUGUUAUUAGGGAAGAACAAAUGUGUAAGUAACUAUGCACGUCUUGACGGUACCUAAUCAGAAAGCCACGGCUAACUACGUG